This 405-nucleotide ribosomal RNA is filed under the name uncultured bacterium. Its description in RNAcentral is "partial 16S ribosomal RNA". It matches the Rfam family "Bacterial small subunit ribosomal RNA", at positions 30 to 526 of the family's 1533-position model. The record is from RNAcentral.
AUUGAACGCUGGCGGCAGGCUUAACACAUGCAAGUCGAACGAGUGGCGGACGGGUUAGUAAUGCUUGGGAAUCUAGCUUAUGGAUGGGGAUAACUACGGGAAACUGUAGCUAAUACCGCGUACCAUAGGCGGAGCCCAAGUGGGUUUAGGUAGUUGGUGGGGUACAGUCUCACCAAGGCGACGACCGCUAGCUGGUCUGAGAGGAUGACCAGCCACACGGGGACUGAGACACGGCCCAGACUCCUACGGGAGGCAGCAGUGGGGAAUAUGGCGCAAUGGGGGAAACCUGACCCAGCCAUGCCGCGUGAAUGAAGAAGGCCUUCGGGUUGUAAAGUUCUUUCGGUAGCGAGGCGGUAACUACAGAAGAAGCACCGGCUAACUCCGUGCCAGCAGCCGCGGUAAUAC